GACGAACGCUGGCGGCGUGCUUAACACAUGCAAGUCGAGCGGAAAGGCCCUUCGGGGUACUCGAGCGGCGAACGGGUGAGUAACACGUGAGUAACCUGCCCUUCACUUUGGGAUAACCCUCGGAAACGGGGGCUAAUACCGGAUAUGACAUGGGAUCGCAUGGUCUUGUGUGGAAAGUUUUUCGGUGGGGGAGUGGCUCGCGGCCUAUCAGCUUGUUGGGUGGGGUGAUGGCCUACCAAGGCGACGACGGGUAGCCGGCCUGAGAGGGCGGACCGGCCACACUGGGACGUGAGACACGGCCCACGACUCCUACGGGAGGGCAGCAGGUGGGGAAGUAUUGCACAAUGGGCGGAAGCCUGAUGCAGCGACGCCGCGUGA
RNAcentral lists this ribosomal RNA (378 nucleotides) under uncultured bacterium. Its description in RNAcentral is "bacterial SSU rRNA". It matches the Rfam family "Bacterial small subunit ribosomal RNA", at positions 28 to 404 of the family's 1533-position model. The record is from RNAcentral.